GGGGUGCCCAGGCGCGAAACCUCUGCAAUGCGCGAAAGCGUGACAGGGGAAGUCUGAGUGGCGGAAACUUAGUUUCCGUCUUUUGCCAAGUGUAAACAGCUUGGAGAAUAAGGGUGUGGGCAAGACUGGCGGCAGCCGCCGCGGUAACACCAGCGCCUCGAGUGGUACCCACGAAUAUUGGGCCUAAAGCGUCCGUAGCUGGACCUCUAAGUCCGCUGUGAAAUGUUGGGGCUCAACCCUAACGCGUGCAGUGGAUACUGUUGGUCUUGGGAACGGGGGAGGGUCGGGGUACUUCCAGGGUAGGGGUAAAAUCCGUUGAGCCUGGAAGGACCACCAGUGGCGAAGGCGCCGAUCCAAAACGUGUCCGACGGUGAGGGACGAAAGCUGGGGAGCGAACGGGAUUAGAUACCCCGGCAGUCCCAGCUGUAAAUGAUGCAGACUGUGGUGUUACACAUGAGUAAUCAUGUGUAGUGCUGUAGCGUAGGUGUUAAAUCUGCCGCCUGGGGAGUACGAUCGCAAGAUUUAAACUUAAAGGAAUUGGCGGGGGAGCAC
RNAcentral lists this ribosomal RNA (552 nucleotides) under uncultured archaeon. RNAcentral's name for it is "bacterial SSU rRNA". It matches the Rfam family "Archaeal small subunit ribosomal RNA", at positions 327 to 879 of the family's 1478-position model. The record is from RNAcentral.